GAGGCAGCAGUAAGGAAUAUUGGUCAAUGGACGCAAGUCUGAACCAGCCAUGCCGCGUGGAGGAUUAAGGCCCUCUGGGUUGUAAACUCCUUUUAUCUGGGAAGAAAUCCAUUUUUUCUAAAGUGGUUGACGGUACCAGAGGAAUAAGCACCGGCUAACUCCGUGCCAGCAGCCGCGGUAAUACGGAGGGUGCAAGCGUUAUCCGGAUUCACUGGGUUUAAAGGGUGCGUAGGCGGGCAGGUAAGUCCGUGGUGAAAUCUCUGAGCUUAACUCAGAAACUGCCAUGGAUACUAUUUGUCUUGAAUAUUGUGGAGGUAAGCGGAAUAUGUCAUGUAGCGGUGAAAUGCUUAGAUAUGACAUAGAACACCAAUUGCGAAGGCAGCUUACUACACAGUUAUUGACGCUGAGGCACGAAAGCGUGGGGAUCAAACAGGAUUAGAUACCCUGGUAGUCCACGCCCUAAACGAUGAUUACUCGACAUCAGCGAUAC
Molecule: ribosomal RNA, 490 nt
Filed under: uncultured bacterium
Lineage: Bacteria
Description: bacterial SSU rRNA
Rfam family: Bacterial small subunit ribosomal RNA
Source: RNAcentral